AGAGUUUGAUCCUGGCUCAGGACGAACGCUGGCGGCGUGCUUUAUACAUGCAAGUCGAACGAUGAAGUUCCUUCGGGAAUGGAUUAGUGGCGAACGGGUGAGGAUCACGUGAGAAACCUGCCUUUCAUUCUGGGAUAACACCGGGAAACCGGUGCUAAUACCGGAUACUCCAUCUUGGCGGCAUCGCCGAGCUGGGAAAAAAUUUUGAUGAAAGAUGGUCUCGCGGCCUAUCAGCUAGUUGGUGAGGUAAAGGCUCACCAAGGCGACGACGGGUAGCCGGCCUGAGAGGGCGACCGGCCACACUGGGACUGAGACACGGCCCAGACUCCUACGGGAGGCAGCAGUAGGGAAUAUUGGGCAAUGGGCGAAAGCCUGACCCAGCGACGCCGCGUGAGGGAUGAAGGUCUUCGGAUUGUAAACCUCUUUCAGUAGGGAAGAAGCGAAAGUGACGGUACCUAAAGAGGAAGCACCGGCUAACUAUGUGCCAGCAGCCGCGGUAAUACAUGGGGUGCAAGCGUUGUCCGGAAUUAUUGGGCGUAAAGAGCCCGUAGGUCGUUUGUCGCGUCGAUUGUGAAAAUCUGAGGCUCAACCUCAGACCUGCAGUCGAUACGGGCAAACUAGAGUGUGGUAGGGGAGACUGGAAUUCCUGGUGUAGCGGUGGAAUGCGCAGAUAUCAGGAGGAACACCAAUGGCGAAGGCAGGUCUCUGGGCCAUAACUGACACUGAGGAGCGAAAGUGCGGGGAGCGAACAGGAUUAGAUACCCUGGUAGUCCGCACCGUAAACGGUGGGCACUAGUUGUGGGAACCUUCCACGGUUUCCGCGACGCAGCAAACGCAUUAAGUGCCCCGCCUGGGGAGUACGAUCGCAAGAUUAAAACUCAAAGGAAUU
RNAcentral lists this ribosomal RNA (889 nucleotides) under uncultured bacterium. RNAcentral's name for it is "bacterial SSU rRNA". It matches the Rfam family "Bacterial small subunit ribosomal RNA", at positions 8 to 911 of the family's 1533-position model. The record is from RNAcentral.